RNAcentral lists this ribosomal RNA (465 nucleotides) under Vreelandella stevensii. RNAcentral's name for it is "partial 16S ribosomal RNA". It matches the Rfam family "Bacterial small subunit ribosomal RNA", at positions 338 to 795 of the family's 1533-position model. Lineage: Bacteria; Pseudomonadati; Pseudomonadota; Gammaproteobacteria; Oceanospirillales; Halomonadaceae. The record is from RNAcentral.
CCUACGGGCUGCAGCAGUGGGGAAUAUUGGACAAUGGGCGAAAGCCUGAUCCAGCCAUGCCGCGUGUGUGAAGAAGGCCUUCGGGUUGUAAAGCACUUUCAGUGGGGAAGAAAGCCUUGGGGCUAAUACCCUCGAGGAAGGACAUCACCCACAGAAGAAGCACCGGCUAACUCCGUGCCAGCAGCCGCGGUAAUACGGAGGGUGCGAGCGUUAAUCGGAAUUACUGGGCGGAAAGCGCGCGUAGGCGGUCUGAUAAGCCGGUUGUGAAAGCCCCGGGCUCAACCUGGGAACGGCAUCCGGAACUGUCAGGCUAGAGUGCAGGAGAGGAAGGUAGAAUUCCCGGUGUAGCGGUGAAAUGCGUAGAGAUCGGGAGGAAUACCAGUGGCGAAGGCGGCCUUCUGGACUGACACUGACGCUGAGGUGCGAAAGCGUGGGUAGCAAACAGGAUUAGAUACCCCGGUAGUC